Molecule: ribosomal RNA, 486 nt
Filed under: uncultured bacterium
Lineage: Bacteria
Description: partial 16S ribosomal RNA
Rfam family: Bacterial small subunit ribosomal RNA
Source: RNAcentral
AUUGAACGCUGGCGGCAUGCCUUACACAUGCAAGUCGAACGGCAGCACGGGUGCUUGCCCCCGGUGGCGAGUGGCGAACGGGUGAGUAAUACAUCGGAACACGUCCUGUAGUGGGGGAUAGCCCGGCGAAAGCCGGAUUAAUACCGCAUACGACCUACGGAUGAAAGCGGGGGACCGUCUGGCCUCGCGCUAUAGGGUUGGCCGAUGGCUGAUUAGCUAGUUGGUGGGGUAAAGGCCUACCAAGGCGACGAUCAGUAGCUGGUCUGAGAGGACGACCAGCCACACUGGGACUGAGACACGGCCCAGACUCCUACGGGAGGCAGCAGUGGGGAAUUUUGGACAAUGGGCGAAAGCCUGAUCCAGCAAUGCCGCGUGUGUGAAGAAGGCCUUCGGGUUGUAAAGCACUUUUGUCCGGAAAGAAAUCCUUGGCUCUAAUACAGUCGGGGGAUGACGGUACCGGAAGAAUAAGCACCGGCUAACUACGUG